This is a non-coding RNA of Albula glossodonta (roundjaw bonefish), 73 nucleotides long. The record is from the annotation of a GenBank genome assembly. Lineage: Eukaryota; Metazoa; Chordata; Actinopteri; Albuliformes; Albulidae.
GUUUUAAUGGGCCAAUGGAUAACGCAUCUGACUACGGAUCAGAAGAUUCUAGGUCCAACUCCUGGCUGGCUCA